AACACGACUCUCGACAACGAAUAUCUUGGCUCUCGCCACGAUGAAGAAUGUAGCGAAAUGCGACACUUGGUGUGAAUUGUAGAAUCCCGUGAAUCAUCGAGUCUUUGAACGCAAGUUACGCCUGAGGCUUCAGCCAAGGGCACAUCUGCCUGGGCAUCGCAC
RNAcentral lists this ribosomal RNA (162 nucleotides) under Araucaria araucana (monkey-puzzle tree). RNAcentral describes it as "5.8S ribosomal RNA". It matches the Rfam family "5.8S ribosomal RNA". From Rfam's summary of the family: 5.8S ribosomal RNA (5.8S rRNA) is a component of the large subunit of the eukaryotic ribosome. Lineage: Eukaryota; Viridiplantae; Streptophyta; Pinopsida; Araucariales; Araucariaceae. The record is from RNAcentral.